This 449-nucleotide ribosomal RNA is filed under the name uncultured bacterium. Its description in RNAcentral is "partial 16S ribosomal RNA". It matches the Rfam family "Bacterial small subunit ribosomal RNA", at positions 29 to 523 of the family's 1533-position model. The record is from RNAcentral.
AGCGAACGCUGGCGGCAGGCCUAACACAUGCAAGUCGAACGAACUCUUCGGAGUUAGUGGCGGACGGGUGAGUAACACGUGGGAACGUGCCUUUAGGUUCGGAAUAACUCAGGGAAACUUGUGCUAAUACUGAAUGUGCCCUUCGGGGGAAAGAUUUAUCGCCUUUAGAGCGGCCCGUGUCUGAUUAGCUAGUUGGUGAGGUAAAGGCUGACCAAGGCGACGAUCAGUAGCUGGUCUGAGAGGAUGAUCAGCCACAUUGGGACUGAGACACGGCCCAAACUCCUACGGGAGGCAGCAGUGGGGAAUCUUGCGCAAUGGGCGAAAGCCUGACGCAGCCAUGCCGCGUGAAUGAUGAAGGUCUUAGGAUUGUAAAAUUCUUUCACCGGGGACGAUAAUGACGGUACCCGGAGAAGAAGCCCCGGCUAACUUCGUGCCAGCCGCCGCCGUAA